Molecule: ribosomal RNA, 775 nt
Filed under: uncultured Neocallimastigales
Lineage: Eukaryota; Fungi; Neocallimastigomycota; Neocallimastigomycetes; Neocallimastigales
Description: partial large subunit ribosomal RNA
Rfam family: Eukaryotic large subunit ribosomal RNA
Source: RNAcentral
CUAUACAUGACUCUGUGCAUAUCAAUAAGCGGAGGAAAAGAAACUAACAAGGAUUCCCCUAGUAACGGCGAGUGAAGCGGGAAGAGCUCAAAUUUGAAAUCUUAAAGGGUUUCCCUUUACGAAUUGUAGUUUAAAGAAGUGUUUUCUGUUGAGGUUUUGGUAAAAGUUCUUUGGAAUAGGACAUCAUAGAGGGUGAGAAUCCCGUAUUUGACCUUUACUUUCAACUUUGUGAUACACUUUCAAAGAGUCGGAUUGUUUGGGAAUGCAGUCCAAAAUGGGUGGUAAAUUUCAUCUAAAGCUAAAUAUUGGCGAGAGACCGAUAGCGAACAAGUACCGUGAGGGAAAGAUGAAAAGAACUUUGAAAAGAGAGUUAAACAGUACGUGAAAUUGUCAAAAGGGAAGCGUUUGACACCAGUGUUGUUUUUCUGAAAAUCAAUUAAAGAACUGUUUAUGCUAAGCUGUUUAGACUUUAUCAGCUAACUGUUUAGUUUUGAGCUUUUCUUUAAUGCACUUUUCAGUUAACAAGUCAACAUCAAUUUCUUUUGCUGUAAAAAAGCUUGAGGAAGGUGGCUUGAGAUUCGUCCUUAAGUGUUUAUAGCCUCUUGCCUAUGCAGUCGGAGAGAUUGAGGUCUGCAGCGUAGAUCCUUCGGGGCUAAAUGCAUUUGUGCUAAGUUAUAGCAUUUUAUAGACAACUUGUUGACUAUGAUUUGUCUUGUAGCUUACUCGCUUAUGUUAUUUUACCUACGCUUAGGAUGUUGACAGCAGUAUAGACUGU